This is a long non-coding RNA of Nomia melanderi (Alkali bee), 2675 nucleotides long. RefSeq lists it as uncharacterized. NCBI's taxonomy places the organism in Eukaryota, Metazoa, Arthropoda, Insecta, Hymenoptera, Halictidae. The record is from RefSeq and is a predicted model, not a curated record.
ACGUAGUAGCAUAAGAAGCAAAAUGAAAAUUCUUAUGUACGUUUUAAAAUAUCUCUUGGCAGAGAUUUGUGCUAUCAUUUUCAAACUUAGGUUUAUCCACCCUCUUCUGUGCGUGUACCAGUAACUAUUACUCUCCGAAGAUCUGCUUGGUAGCAAUUCGAGCUUUCAACAGGAAGCAUUAAACAUCGAGUUUAAAUUUCAUUUCUUCAUUCUACAUCUAAGUGGAAAAAUCAUGCAGUGUGCUUCCUUGGCAGCGAUUUGAAUGAACACCAUUACGGUUCCAAACGUGUUACCGUUAUUAGAGCACUGCAUUUCAUUAGAAGAAUCAGGAUGGCCGCGUGGCAACCUUGAAAGCAGAGCAAUAAAAAUAUCUCCCGAAUUCCACCAGAUUCUAUAAAUUGUGCAGCGUAAAUGCUUCCUUCAACAUUUCAAUAUGAAGCCAAUAAUUUUGGCACUACUUCAAACGGCGCUGAUCAUCUGACACUUCGUACAAGCUGCUUAUCUUAUUAAUCUUGUAGAUCACGGUGCACUUAUCUCCGAUGGAUCACUAAUAGAUGUUGAGGGUCCAAAUUUUCAAAGGCCAGAAAAACUUUUGGAAACGCAAUAUGAAAUAAUCAAGAAAUUUAAGGAAAAAGUUCAAAUGUCACUCAAAGUCGCAUCGUGGUCCGAUUAGGGUUAAAGAAGCAAUCAGCAAUGGGUCAUUUUCACCUUUCUGGUAGUUCUAGUGUUAAGGUGGCACCGAUCGACGGUACGCAGAGGACCAACGUUCGACUUUUCCUUUACUAAGAUGAUCUUACAUUGGGUAUUAUCGAGUAAGAAGAAUUCUGUCUACUUUCUGGACAUUUGUGUCGUAAUGGUAACUACAAGCGAUUGUCGGUGAAUGACAAAGGAUUGUAGGGGAGAUGAUCAUGUGUUCAAAUACGUACACAUAUGGUAAGGUAGAAUUUUCUAGGUGUAAAAUAAUGGUGGAAACUUGUUGGAAUGUAGUCUUUUAGCUGCAAUUUUAGACUUGAGAAGGCGUUGUGUUUAGGAGACCCUCUUGUCAGCGUUGCUUUCACUCUGUUUUUUGUGUCUCGGGACUUGGAGCUGCUUUCCCUUAACACUAGAACUACCAGAUGGGUCAAAAUGACCCAUUCCAGAUUUCUUCUGUUGCACUUAUUCAAAAAGUACAGAUGCUUCUGUGAGAAAUCGUUAAAGAAGUCGAUUUAGUAGUACUUACACUGAAAUAUAAGCCAAUUGAAAAGUCAGUUUAAGUGCUUGGUAGUUCUAGUGUUAAAACGGUACCGAUUAAUAAACCGUGGACGACCAGCGUUUGACUUUACCUUCGCUAAGGUUAUUUUAUAUCGAGUAUUAUCGAGUAAGAAGAAUCCUGUGUCUGUUUUCUGCAAAUUUGUGUCGUAAUGGUAACUACAGGCGAUUGCCAGUGAACGAGGACGUGGGUAAGAUUCUAGGGGAGAUGGUCAUUGAAACGUAUGGGAAGGUAGGAUUUUGUAGGUGUAAAAUGGUGGAAACAUUGUUGGAAUGUACUCUUUUAGCUGCAAUGUUAGGAUUUCCCUAUCGAAAGCAACUAGUCGUCAUAAUAUUCGGAUAUCGAGUCACCAGCCCUGCCACCAUUUGUAAAACGCUAUAAGAAUGGGCCCACGGCCCAAAACAGAAUAGUUGCAUUCCGCCAAGGUAAGAAGAAACGUGACAAUUUCUUUCUCCCUGUUUUACGCUGGCUACGGCACGUACUAGUUUGGGAGUAAUGUAACUCACGAGGAAAACGCCGUAACAAAUCGACGAGAUUUUUUCUGUUUAUUGAUUCGUAGCGAGUCCGUCCUAGAAACUUCGCUCGUGUUUCUUACGACGAGCACAGAUGCCACGAGGGACCGCGAGUGAUUUCGGUGCCGCGAUGUAUUAAUAGACAGGCAAAGACGGGUAUUCCUGACUGUUCGUAUGUACGUUCCUACCUUCGAUUGCUGCCGAUCGGAGUUACCGAAAAUUUCAUUGAAAUAAUUGGCACUCGCCGGGGAUGAUCGAUUACUCGAUCCUCCGGUAAUCAACGCGACUAUGCGGCUCGUUUAUUGGCCGCUUAAGUGGUUGUAAUUAGAGUGAUUUAUUUGUGAUUUUUUAUGAAUAUUAGAAUAAUAGGAUUUUUGGGAUUAGAAGGGUGUUUUAAUAUUGUAUCUGUAUGGAUGGAUAGAUUUAAUUUAGUCCUUUGCGAAAAUAUUUUGUGAUUUCAUACUAAUUUCUACUGAAGGUGUUCAGAGAUAUCACUUGAAGUUUUAAGUUAAAAUUAUUUUCUUAGUUUAAUAAUUUGUCCCCGAUUGAAUUUUGGAUAUUUUCUGUAGCUUAUAAUCGUUAUAGGAAAUCGAAAAGUUAAUUUACAAUAUACGACUAAACUUGGAAAAGAAGUUUAAGAUAAGUUUAAGUUUCAGAGGCCAUUUAAGCCAUUUAAGCCAUUUAAGAUAAAUUUCGGAAUAAACAUUCUGAGGUUGCUCAGUUUGACUCGAGUAGUAGUUUUAGUGUUACAGAAAAUCGACUCUGGUGGACUUAAUUAAGGACAAGUUAAUGAAGAUUUAAUGUGAUUGAUAUGUAAUCUCUAUAAAAAUUGUAAUGAUAGCUUGUUUUCAAUUUCUUUAGGUAUUUAUUGUAGGAUUUAAGUGGAACUAUUUAUUUUUGAAAUCAUUUUGAAU